This 86-nucleotide transfer RNA is filed under the name Hyphomicrobiales bacterium. RNAcentral's name for it is "tRNA-Leu". It matches the Rfam family "tRNA". From Rfam's summary of the family: Transfer RNA (tRNA) molecules are approximately 80 nucleotides in length. Their secondary structure includes four short double-helical elements and three loops (D, anti-codon, and T loops). The record is from RNAcentral. Lineage: Bacteria; Pseudomonadati; Pseudomonadota; Alphaproteobacteria; Hyphomicrobiales.
GCGGGCGUGGCGGAAUGGUAGACGCAACGGACUUAAAAUCCGUUGGGGGUAACUCCGUGAGGGUUCGAGUCCCUCCGCCCGCACCA